GGGCUUGUAGCUCAGCGGAUUAGAGCGUGUGGUUCCGAACCACAAGGACAAGGGUUCGAAUCCCUUCU
This 68-nucleotide transfer RNA is filed under the name Mesotaenium endlicherianum. RNAcentral describes it as "tRNA-Arg". It matches the Rfam family "tRNA". From Rfam's summary of the family: Transfer RNA (tRNA) molecules are approximately 80 nucleotides in length. Lineage: Eukaryota; Viridiplantae; Streptophyta; Zygnematophyceae; Zygnematales; Mesotaeniaceae. The record is from RNAcentral.